GACGAACGCUGGCGGCGUGCCUAAUACAUGCAAGUAGAACGCACAGUUUAUACCGUAGCUUGCUACACCAUAGACUGUGAGUUGCGAACGGGUGAGUAACGCGUAGGUAACCUGCCUGGUAGCGGGGGAUAACUAUUGGAAACGAUAGCUAAUACCGCAUAAUAUUGAUUAUUGCAUGAUAAUUGAUUGAAAGAUGCUAUUGCAUCACUACCAGAUGGACCUGCGUUGUAUUAGCUAGUAGGUGAGGUAACGGCUCACCUAGGCGACGAUACAUAGCCGACCUGAGAGGGUGAUCGGCCACACUGGGACUGAGACACGGCCCAGACUCCUACGGGAGGCAGCAGUAGGGAAUCUUCGGCAAUGGACGAAAGUCUGACCGAGCAACGCCGCGGGAGUGAAGAAGGUUUUCGGAUCGUAAAGCUCGGUUGUAAGAGAAGAACGGGUGUGAGAGUGGAAAGUUCACACUGUGACGGUAUCUUACCAGAAAGGGACGGCUAACUACGUG
Molecule: ribosomal RNA, 505 nt
Filed under: uncultured bacterium
Lineage: Bacteria
Description: partial 16S ribosomal RNA
Rfam family: Bacterial small subunit ribosomal RNA
Source: RNAcentral